RNAcentral lists this long non-coding RNA (10750 nucleotides) under Setaria viridis. Its description in RNAcentral is "long non-coding RNA (SVIR_LNC006227)". The record is from RNAcentral. Lineage: Eukaryota; Viridiplantae; Streptophyta; Magnoliopsida; Poales; Poaceae.
UGUGAUUCAACCGGGUCCAGCUUCUCCUUUCUUCAGUGAUUGUCGGCAAUCAUGACGCGUUUAAGAGAAAAGUACAACAUGCAAAUAUGACAUGUUUAUUCUUGCAAACAUGCAAAUAUGAUGGCAAAUAUAAAGCAUACAAAGAAAAUAAAGCAAAAGGAGAUGCACAUUAGAGCACAAGGCCAGUUCCCUUCAGUUUCUCUUCCACAAUCCAAUCUAGCUUUCUCCCCAUCUCUUGGCUCAUGUGAUUAACCCAAUCCCCCACUUUCCCUUUCCUGAUGAACGCUGACUUCUCAACAAUUAGGUUGCCACGCCGGAUCAGGUCACCUGUCUGGUUGGUGUCCAAGCUGCUAAGCUUAUCAAAGCUGCACAACCUCACCACCUCCUCAGGUAUCCCGUCUUCUUCUUCCUUGUUACUGAAAGGGACACCGAGGAAUGUUGCAAGUCUGAUGACAUACUUCACUGGCUCUGACAUCAUAUCUUCAUACUUGAGAAAAAGAAUCCUGUUAGGGCAUGCGAUGCUCUCCCUCCUGUACUCAAGGCAAUGCUCCCAAAAAGGUCUGUAGUUUGUGAAACCUUCGGAAAACAUGUUGAAAGCAGCCUCAAAGUCAACGCUAUGUUCCCUAUGAACCAUUUUGUCGAAGUGCCACCAGGACACAAGGGCGUCCUUUGAAUCUCGACAAACGUACACAGUACGACAACCACAACUAGCUAAGGAAUCUGGGAACAACGAGAGAGGCAUAUGGGUGGCAAGAAGUCUUAGAGAUGGGAGUGUCUCUACAUAGGUCAUGUCACCAUCUCGAGGGAUCUCGAGGAAUGGCACCACCUCCUGGGGAUGACGGAAGAGAAGAGGGUGAUUGCCAAACUCAUACCGGAAGCGAUUGGUGAUUGUGAAGGCGAGAGCCUUGAUCCACGUGGUGCCACACUUGGGGUUCGUUGCGAGAACGAUGUCGUCGUGGCGAGGUUCGAAGGUGUUCUGGAGGUGCAUGAUGGUUGCAGCGAAACGUGGACGGAGCCGGUAGUUCUUGUAGAGCACCAAUGGCUGCGCCCACCCCUCCCUCGUCGGAAGUUUGGAUAGAGGAUCACCAGUACCGUGGCUAUUUGGCGCUUCCCUCCAUGCCGUGUGCCAUAGCUCAGCUGCUUUGGAGUGUUCUAACCUUAAAACUUUUUCUACUCUCCACAUAGAACACGUGGUAUUCCAUAUUAAAAUUUGGUAUAUUUCUGGAUCUGUUUUCUAUAUUUAAUUAAUUUAUUGCAUUUCUAGGAAUUUUUUUGGGAUAAGUCAAAUUUGAACCGCAAGUGAUUCACGUAAUAGAAUAAAAUAUGUGAAAAAUAAUAUUCAUGUUAUCGAGUCCAGUGUGAGGCCUUACCCGGGAAAUGAAAUUUUUUUUGAAUAUCUUAUUCAGAAAACACGACCACGAACGUGUGGUCGAAUGGUUUUUAAAUUCUAAAAAAAGCAAAUGAAGUCUGAAAAUCAUUAUAUUUGUCAUGAUGUGAUGAUAUCAUACAUGGAGGCUGUGGUAAAAAAUGAGAAGGUUUUGCAUAAUUUGUCACGUUCGAUGUUUACAAACCGAAGCAUCUCAAAAAAAAGAAUCAUAACGUUGAGAAGGAUUCGGCAAGAUGUGUAGUCAAAGUGACAGUCGAAUUGGGGUUUGACUUCAAAACUUUUUGUAUAGGCAAUAGAGAACAUAGAUUAUUUCAUGUGAAAUUUUGGUAAUUUUUUGGAUCCGUUUGAUAAUUUUAAUUUAUUAAGUGCAAUUAUACAAUUUUAAUUGAUAUAAAUUAAAUUUGAGCUGUAACUGCAUAAAUAUUCGUAGAAAAAUCAUAUAUAUAUAUAUAUAUAUAUUGUUGAGUCAAUUUGAUAAGGUAUUUUCAAAGUACAUCGGGAUAAGGAGGAAAACACGGUAUGGAAAAGAAGGAAAUGGGAAAAAAAAAGUUUGCCGAGUGCAGACACUUGGCAAAGAUAAGUUUGUCGAGUGCCGUGAUCCGAUACUCGGCAAACUUAGCUUUGCCAAGUGUCCUAGAUUCGACACUCGGCACCUUAUAAAAGUUACCCGACCACCGCCCCCUCCCUCCCACCCUACCCUUCUUCUCCCGACAUCGCUGCCCCCCUCCCCUCCCUCCCUCUCCUACCGGCGCUGCCCCUUCCCCUCCCUCCAUCUCCCGCCGGCGCCCCCUCCCUCUCCCGCCGGCGCCGCCCCCUCCCCUCCCAACGUCUCCCGCCGGCGCCCCCUCCCUCUCCCGCCACCCCCUCCCCUCCCUACGUCUCCCGCCGACGCCCCCUCCCUCUCCCGCCGACGCCACCCCCUCCACUCCCUCUUCCCCCAUCUCCCUCCCUCUCCCUCUUUUUUUUUUGCACAGGCGGUGGCGGCAGGCGUGGUGGCGACGGCGGCGUCGUGGUGGUGGCGGCGGCGUGGUGGUGGCGGUUAGGUUUUUUAUUAUAUUUUUCGAAAUAUUUUUUGCCGAGUGUCGAUUUAGCACUCAGCAACAUCUUUGCCGAGUGCUCGAUAAAAAGCACUCAGCAAAGAUAGCUUUGCUGAGGGGAACACUCGGAAAAACAUUUGCUAAGUAUUUUUUUGCCUUCGCCGUGUGCCGUGAAUGUUGGCUGAUUAGAAUCUAAAUAGAAAAGAUUAACACCUCUAAUUUUGAUGAUCCAGGUAUAUAAUAAGGAUUAAUUUGCGAGCACGAUUGAGCUAAUCUGUACUCCCUCCGUCCCAAAAUAAGUGUUCGUUUAGAAAAUUUUGGACACAUUAGUAGUUGUAAGAAGUGAUCAUGCUAUUUCUAAUUACUCAUAUUAAUCGUGGUUGAAAGCUGUGCAGUCUGUUUGAUUUUCUGGAUCCUGAAUACAUGUACGUGCAUUAGAACCAGAGAAAAAACAUCAAUUGAUUAUUUUAUUGGAUCUAUGCACUUCUCAGUACUUUUGUUUUUAUUAGUGUGAGUAUUGCUUUAAUUAGAUGAGUCUCGUUAGGAGCUAAAUGAACUUUCUUUGUGACCAAAUUUGAAAGAUAAACGAACACUUAUUUUGGGACAAAGGGUUUAAGCCGAUACUACUUAAAAAAGGAAGAUGGUUGGUGGCAUGUCACGUUCCUCUGUCCUUUUACCAUCGCAUGUUUGGCUCCCUAGCUUAACUUGUCACAUCGGAUGUUUGGAUACUAAUUAGAAGUAUUAAACAUAGUCUAAUUACAAAACUAAUUGCACAUAUGAAGCCUAAUUCGCGAGAUGAAUCUAUUAAGCCUAAUUAGUUCAUGACUUGACAAUGUGGUGCUACAGUAACAGUUUUCUAAUGAUGGAUUAAUUAGCCUUAAUAGAUUCAUCUCACAAAUUAGACUCCAUGUGUGCAAUUAGUUUUGUAAUUAGCUUAUAUUUAAUCCUCCUAAUUAGCAUCCGAACAUCUGAUGUAUCCGAACAUCUGAUGUGACCCUGCUAAACUUUAGCACCUCGUAUCGAAAUGCUCAUAAAUCGAUGAACUCUCGCACUGGCAGCGGCGGCUCCUCGUCGGCUUGCAGUUUCCCCUCUAUAUUCCGAAGGCACAACGUACCUUCGACGACGACGAAAACGCAGCAGCAAGCCAGCGAGGAGGAAUCCCAUGGGCCAUGGCCCCCAGGAUGAGCAGGACCACAGCCACCGCCCAGGCCGGCCGCCCAAUGAGCGCGGUAGAAGAGCAUCGAGAGGAUGCAGAAGGCGAUGAGCGCGCCAAGCAUGCACAGCAGCGGCGCGCAUCGACGGUCGGGAUCCGGCCUCGCGUCAACGACGACGCCGCCACCGCCGCCGCCGGGGUUCUCGAUGUCCGCCAUAGCAGCGAGCCUUUGGUGUUCAUUACUAGCUAGGGGGAAAAAGCCAGCGAGUCCAAUGCAAUCAACGUAGAGAGACCAUGAACAUAAAGAACAAGGAAGGCCAAAUUCCUUCAGUUUCUUCCAUUUCUUCACUCAUGUGAUUCAACCGGGUCCAGCUUCUCCUUUCUUCUGUGAUUGUCGGCAAUCAUGACGUGUUUAAGAGAAACGUAGAACAUGCAAAUAUGACAUUUUUAUUCUUGCAAACAUGCAAAUAUGAUGGCAAAUAUAAAGCAUACAAAGAAAAUAAAAGCAAAAGGCGAUGCACAUUAGAGCACAAGGCCAGUUCCCUUCAAUUUCUCUUCCACAAUGCAAUCUAGCUUUCUCCCCAUCUCUUGGCUCAUGUGAUUCACCCAAUCCCCCACCUUUCCUUUUCUGAACAACACUGACUUCUCAAUAAUUAGGUUGCCAAGCCGGACCAUAUCACCUGUCUGGUUGGUGUCCAAGCUGCUAAGCUUAUCAAAGCUGCACAACCUCACCACCUCCUCAGGUAUCCCGUCUUCUUCUUCCUUGAUACUGAAGGGGACACCGAGGAAUGUUGCAAGUCUAAUGACAUACUUCAUUGGCUCUGACAUCAUAUCUUCGUACUUGAGAAAAAGAAUCCUGUUAGGGCAUGGGAUGCUCUCCCUCCAGUACUCGAGGCAAUGCUCCCAAAAAGGUCCGUAGUUUGAGAAACCUUCGGAAAACAUGUUGACAGCAGCCUCAAAGUCAACACUACGUUCCCUAUGGACCUUACUCUCGAAGUGCCACCAGGACAAAGGGCGUCCUUUGGAUCUCGACAAACGUACACAGUACGACAACCACAAGUAGCUAAGGAAUCUGGGAACAACGAGAGGGGCAUAUGGGUGGCAAGAAGCCUUGGAGAUGGGAGUGUCUCUACAUAGGUCAUGUCACCAUCUCGAGGGAUCUCGAGGAAUGGCACCACCUCCUGGGGAUGACGGAAGAGAAGAGGGUGAUUGCCAAACUCAUACCGGGAGCGAUUGGUGAUUGCGAAGGCGAGAGCCUUGAUCCACGUGGUGCCACACUUGGGGUUCGUUGCGAGAACGAUGUCGUCGUGGCGAGCUUCGAAGGUGUUGUGGAGGCGCAUGAUGGUUGCAGCAAAACGUGGACGGAGCCAGUAGUUCUUGUAGAGCACCAAUGGCUGCGCCCACCCCUCCCUCGACGGAAGUUUGGAUAGAGGAUCAUCAGUACCGUGGCUAUUUGUGGCGCUUCCCUCCAUGGCUUGUGCCAUAGCUCAGCUGCUUUGGAGUGUUCUUGCGCGCUUUGCAGCUGGGACGAUGGAUUGGGUGGGUGCGUGUAGACCUGCGGAUUGAAUACAGAGAGCAGCUCUGAUGCUGGUGGCUAUCAAUGCUGUGCAAGUUACCAUAUAUAGGAUUAAAAUAUAAUCUCGUGAUUAGCGAGUAUGUUUUUAUAUUCCUAAAGAAAAACCAUGCUGCUUAUCUAGCUUCAACUAGCUACAUAGGAGGCCCCGCGGCACUACUAGCAGAAAUUUCGCUCAUCAAUAAAAAAGAAAGCAGCAAGUAGAAAUUCCAUUAAAGGAUCUGCAAUGGAUGACUUUGUUUGUUAAUUCAAACAAUCAAAACAUGACGUUAAAAUGUACAACAACAUAUAAGAAAAGUAAACCACAUGUACAUAAGAACAAGGAAGGCCAAAUCCCUUCAGUUUCUUCCAUUUCUUCACUCGUGUGAUUCAACCGGGUCCAGCUUCUCCUUUCUUCUGUUAUUGUCGGCAAUCAUGACGUGUUUAAGAGAAAAGUAUAACAUGCAAAUAUGGCAUGUUUAUUCUUGCAAACAUGCAAAUAUGGUGGCAAAUAUAAAGCAUACAAAGAAAAUAAAAGUAAAAGGACAUGCACAUUAAAGCACAAGGCCAGUUCCCUCCAGUUUCUCCUCCACAAUGCAAUCUAGUUUUCUCCCUAUCUCUUGGCUCAUGUGAUUCACCCAAUUCCCCACCUUCCCUUUCCUAAAGUAUGCCGACUUCUCAGUAAUUAGAUUGCCACGCCAGACCAGUUCACCUGUCUGGUUUGUGUCCAAGCUGCUAAGCUUAUCAAAGCUGCACAACCUCACCACCUCCUCAGGUAUCCCGUCUUCUUCUUCCUUGAUAUUGAAGGGGAAACCGAGGAAUGCUGCAAGUCUGAUGACAUACUUCACUGGCUCUAACAUCAUAUCUUCGUACUUGAGAAAAAGAAUCCUGUUAGGGCAUGCGAUGCUCUCCCUCCAGUACUCGAGGCAAUGCUCCCAAAAAGGUCCGUAGGAUGAGAAACCUUCGGAAAACAUGUUGACAGCAGCCUCAAAGUCAAUGCUACAUUCCCUAUGGAUCUUAUUCUCGAAGUGCCACCAGGACACAAGGGCGUCCUUUGGAUCUCGACAAACGUACACAGUACGACAACCACAAGUAGCUAAGGAAUCUGGGAACAACGAGAGGGGCAUAUGGGUGGCAAGAAGCCUUGGAGAUGGGAGUGUCUCUACAUAGGUCAUGUCACCAUCUCGAGGGAUCUCGAGGAACGGCACCACCUCCUGGGGAUGACGGAAGAGAAGAGGGUGAUUGCCAAACUCAUACCGGGAGCGAUUGGUGAUUGCGAAGGUGAGGGCCUUGAUCCACGUGGUGCCACACUUGGGGUUCGUUGCGAGAACGAUGUCGUCGUGGCGAGCUUCAAAGGUGUUCUGGAGGCGCAUGAUGGUUGCAGCGAAACGUGGACGGAGCCAGUAGUUCUUGUAGAGCACCAAUGGCUCCGACCACCCCUCCCUCGUUGGAAGUUUGGAUAGAGGAUCAUCAGUGCCGUGGCUAUUUGUGGCGCUUCCCUCCAUGACUUGUGCGCUCUACAUCUGGGACGAUGGAUUGGAUGGCUACUUGUAUAAGUCAUCCUCUGUCCUUUUGCCAUAAAAAAAGGCAGCCCUCGAUGGACGAUGUCAACGGACGGCGUCACCGGCGCCCCAUGUGCGUGGUCUCCUCCUCCAUGCACGAUGUCCGCAUGGUCGACUACGAGCACACGCAGGUUCGCAGGCAGGAUCGAUCAGAUCGAUGCGCCGACGCAGCUCAUCAGCUCCUCCACGUACGUACGGUCGCCGCCGGCUUUGUUCUUGCAUCCUCUCGCAAACUUCCUUCCUAUCCUGACAUGGGACGAAACGAAACACAUGAAGCAAAAAUGUUGCUCAAGCCUUACUGGUUGUGUUUCUCUAAAGCUCAAGGACAAAUAGAAUCGUAUCAUAUCACCUACCUUGCCUCUCCCGAAGAAGGCUGAUUUCUCGUAGACCACAUUGGGUCAUGGAUGGGGUUCUCAAUCACUACCGGAAACCGGGUGUUUGCCGAGUGCAAGAAUCUUUGCUGAGUGCAUUCUAUUGGGCACUUGGCAAAGAAGCUCUUUGCCGAGUGCUGCCAAAAAACACUCGGCAAAAGAACCAAAAAACACUGGGCAAAGCCUGGCACUCGGCAACCUAGAAAAAAAAUACUCGGCAAAGAUAGGCACUCGGCAAAGAAAUAUGUUUGCCGGGUGUAAUUAUUUAGCACUUGGCAAAUAAUUUCACUUUUUUUCUAUUAUGACCUUGAAACUUUUUCUACUCUCCACAUAAAACAUGUAGUAUUCCAUGUUAAAAUUUGGUAUAUUUCUGGAUCCGUUUGCUAUAUUUAAUUAGCUUAUUGCAUUUUUAGGAAUUUUUUGGUAUAAGUCAAAUUUGAACUGCAAAUGAUUCAAAUAAUAGAAUAAAAUGAGUAGAAAAAUUGAUAUUCAUGGUAUUGAGUCCAGUGUGAGGCCUUACCCAGGAAAUGAAAAGAAAUUUUGAACAUCUUGUUCAGAAAACAUGAUCACGAACGUUUGGCCAAAUGGUUUUUAAAUUCUAAAAAAAGCAAACGAAGUCUGAAAAUCAUGAGAUUUUUCAUGUGUGAUGAUAUCAUAGAUGGAGGUUGUGGUAAAAAAUUGAGAAGGUUUCGCAAAAUUUUUGUCACGUACGAUGUUUACAAAUCGAAGCAUCUCAGAAAAAAAAUCGUAGCGUUGAGAAGGAUUCGGUAAGAUUUGGAGUCAAAUUGACGGUCGAAUUGGGAUUUGACUUCAAAAUUUUUUGUAUAGGCAAUAGAGGACAUAGAUUAUUUCAUGUGAAAUUUUAGUAAUUUUUUUGGAUUCAUUUGAUAAUUUUAAUUUAUUAAGUGUAAUUAUAAAAUUUUAAUUGAUAUAAAUUAAAUUUGAACUGUAACUGCAUAAAAUAAUGGAGUAAUAUUCAUGGAAAAAUCAUAUAUAUAUAUAUAUAUUGUUGAGUCAAUUUGAUAAAGUAUUUUCAAAGGACAUCAGAAAAAAGAAGGAAAACACAGUAUGGAAAAGAAGAAAAUGGGAACCGAGUGCAGACACUCGGUAAAGAUAAUCUGACACUCGCUAAAUUAGCUUUGCCGAGUGUCCUAGAUUCGACACUUGGCACCUUAUAAAAGUCACCCGGCCGCCGCCCCCUUCCUCCCACCCUCCCCUCCCUCUCCCGGCGCCACCCCCCUCUCCCACCAGCGCCGCCCCCUCCCCUCCCUCUGUCUCCCGCCGGCGCCCCCUCCGUCUCCCGCUAGCACCACCCCCUCCCCUUCCUCUCCCGCCGGUGCCGCCCCCUCCCCUCCCUCUCCUAGCGCCACCCCCUCCCUCCCUCUCCCCCCGUCUCCCUCUUUUUUUUGCACAGGCGGUGGCGGCGGCAUUGUGGUGGCGGCGACGGCGUCAUGGUGGUCGCGGCGGGCGUGUUUUUAUAUUUUUUGAAAUAUUUUUUUGCCGAGUGUCGGUUUAGCACUCGGCAACGUCUUUGCCAAGUACUCGAAAAAAAAACACUCGGCAAAGACAGCUUUGCCGAGUCUCUGUUUGCUGAGUGCCGUUUGCUGAGUGGAACACUCAACAAAGACUUUGCCGAGUGUUUCUUUUUUGCCUUCGCCGUGUACCCACGGCACACGGCAAACCUGGGCAUUCUGGUAGUGAAUGUUGGCCAUGCAUGCAUCGUCCUGGCUAGGCUUAAUGACACCUACCCAUCGAGAUAAAUGGUGUCGAAUUUAUUUUCUGCUGAUUGGACUCUAAACACAAAAGAUUAACACCUCUAAUUUUGAUGACCCAAGUAUAUAAUAAGGAUUAAUUUCCGAGCACGAUUGAGCUAAUCUGUACUCCCUCAGUCCCAAAAUAUGUGUUCGUUUAGAAAAUUUUGGACAAUUAGUAGUUGUGAGAAGUGACCAUACUAUUCCUAAUUACUCAUAUUAGUUGUGGUUGAAAGCUGUCCAAUCUGUUUGAUUUUUUAGAUCUGAAUACAUGCACGUGCAUUGGAACAAGAGAAAAAACAUUAAUUGAUCAUUUCAUUAGAUCUAUGCACUUCUCAACACAUUGUUUUUAUUGGUGCGAGUGUUGUUUUAAUUAGAUGAGUCUUAUUUGAAGCUAAAUGAACUUUCUUUGUGUGACAAAAUUUGAAAGAUAAACGAACACUUAUUUUGGGAUAGAUCGGGACAGAGGGAGUAAGCCGAUACUUAAAAAAAGGAAGAUGGUUGGUGGCAUGUCACGUUCCUCUGUCCUUUUACCAUCAAACAAAGCAUUAUAUUAUUACAUGGAUCGAUGAACUCUCACACCGGCAGCGGCGGCUCCUCGUUGGCUUGCAGUUUCCCCUCUAUACUUCCGUAGACACAACCUUCGACGACGACGAAAAUGCAGCAGCAGCCAGCGAGGAGGAAUCCCAUGGGCCAUGGCCCCCAGGACGAGCAGGACCACAGCCACCACGCGAACGCCCAGGCCGGCCGCCCGAUGAGCGCGGUAGAAGAGCAUCGAGAGGACGCAGAAGGCGAUGAGCGCGCCAACCAUGCACAGCAGCGGCGCGCAUCGACGGUCGGGAUCCGGCCUCGCGUCAACGACGCCGCCGCCGCCGCCGGGGUUCUCGAUGUCCGCCAUAGCAGCUAGCCUUUGGUGUUCGUUACUAGCUAGGGGGAAAAAGCAAGCGAGCUCAAUGCAAUCAACGUAGAGAGUAUCAGCCCACGAAAAGGGCCCCACAAGCGAACGCACCGCAUACCGCCGUCCCGUGAGCGCUCGGACCCCACGCACGCCGGCGGCCGAUGCUCCGGUCCCCCGCGCGCGCCGGCUCUACCGCCGCCUCCCGCGGGCACACCGGCCUCACUGCCUCCACGUUGCACACGCCGUGGUCUGAGAAGCUGACUGAGGUUGAAGAAGAAGAAAAAUCCGAAAAUGUCGGCUCUUCUUUGAAAAAAAUGUUGAAUCCGGUUAUCCAAAAUGUUGAAGUAGGCAGAUAAAAAUGUUGAAUGUAGUUUUUUUCCUUAUGAAAUGUUGAUCUAGAAUAAAAAUGUCGAACCUGUUCAUUUUAGAUGUAGAUUAAACUGUUGAAAAAUGUUGAAACUAGUUUGUUAAAAUGUUGACUUAAACUUUUAAACGGGUCUAAUGGGCUUUACAACUAUGCUGCUUAUCUAGCUUCCACUAGCUACAUAGGAGGCCCCGCGGCACUACAAGCAGAAAUUUCGCUCAAUCAAAUAGAAAGCAGCAAGUAGAAGUUCCAUUAAAUAAUCAUGACUUUCGCAAUGGAUGACUUUGUUUAUUAAUUCAAACAAUCGAAACAUGACGUUAAAACAUACAACAACAUAUAAGUAAAGUAAACCACAUGAACAUAAAAAACCAGGAAGGCCAAAUCCCUUCAGUUUCUUCCAUUUCUUCACUCAUGUGAUUCAACCGGGUCCAGCUUCUCCUUUCUUCAGCGAUUGUCGGCAAUCAAGACGUGUUUAAGAGAAAAGUACAACAAGCAAAUGUGACAUGUUUAUUCUUGCAAACAUGCAAAUAUGAUGGCAAAUAUAAAGCAUACAAAGAAAAUAAAGCAAAAGGAGAUGCACAUUAGAGCACAAGGCCAGUUCCCUUCAGUUUUUCUUCCACAAUGCAGUCUAGCUUUCUCCCCAUCUCUUGGCUCAUGUGAUUCACCCAAUCCCCC